CAUGUUGAAUUGUUGACCCGAUUUGACGGACUAUAUAAGUGCUCUUCUCCUUGGGAAUUUGAAAGCACGCCCCUUCUAAGCAUCGCACAAUAUAUAUGCUUAUAUAUGUGGUAGCAGUCAUUGGUACAAGCAUGUGUGCAUUAGACCAGAAAAGGGGUAAGUUGCCUUUGAUACUGAUCUGGUACCCCCCUAUAAGCGUAUGAUAUUAAAUAGGUUUCUAUUGAUUUAUCAAUAGAGAAUUUAUGUCAAUUGAUUUAAUGUCGAUAUAAGCUUUAUGCAAGUUUGUUUUCUCGAGAGUACACGAUCGGUAUUAUAGCUUUUUUAUGCAAGUUUGUGAAUUCUGAAGUAGUGGAUCCUACCAUGUUUCAAACUCGCAGAGCAUAUUGAAGGUGGUACAAAUCAUUGCAGAGUGAAUUACAAGUAGCUAUAUGUGGAUUGGAAUUUAUUGAAACUUUGCAUAUUCAAAAUUUUAAGUCGAAUGAGACGUGCAUUGCACAUGCAUGCUUACUAGUAUUACAAGGCGGAGGGAAUACUAAUUAAGGUAAUUGUAUAUUGUAGCAACGUCUAAGUCACGUGUUUGCAUACUUAUGGCCAGUGAAUGAUGUGGGCAUUUUUUUAUUGUCUUGCCACCGUACAUGAUCGAGUUACAUCGGGGAAUCGAUCCGUGUGAUCCGCAUAGUGUUGUACUCUACAGGGUCAAUCUACCUUGUCAUUUAGUGUGUGCAGCAGUCUUUGUACAUUACAUGAUAUAAUCGGGACAAAAAAAAUUGCAAUCUUUACGGUGGUGGCGAUUCUCGACGAAUAUUAUCAUUUUAUUUGUGAACUUGGUGUAUCACUGAUUGCAAAUCUAGAUUAAUACCGGACUGAACUUGGUGUAUCACUUAUUUGUAAACAAAAAUAGUUCGAACAUUGUAAUAAGAAGGCAAAUAUAGAUGCUCAUGAGCUUGAUGACUAGAUUUUCCUUGACGUUGGAUUGGUUUGAGGAAUCUCUGACUGAAAUUGUGCGCUUCUCAUAAACGAUUUAACCGUCAUUUUCAAUGAACAAAGUUUUAGGUGUUUUGUGAAAAAUAAUAGAUCGGGAUAUUUUUGAAAAAAACAUAGCAUGAUAUUUUAACCUUAGAUUUGUCUUAUCCAUUUGUUGUGAGAUUAGUGCGAGCAGACCCUUUGCUCGAGCCUUUUCCGGAGAGACCUACCUCGAGGUAUCUCAGAAAUCAACGGCUCAAAAUAAACCCCGGAAACCGAAUCCCUGCGCCCACACAGACACUGUGACGGAACUCCUCCAGAUAGGAAGAUAAUGGUGGGCCGG
RNAcentral lists this long non-coding RNA (1306 nucleotides) under Triticum aestivum (bread wheat). RNAcentral describes it as "long non-coding RNA (TAES_LNC001041)". Lineage: Eukaryota; Viridiplantae; Streptophyta; Magnoliopsida; Poales; Poaceae. The record is from RNAcentral.